This 590-nucleotide ribosomal RNA is filed under the name uncultured bacterium. Its description in RNAcentral is "bacterial SSU rRNA". It matches the Rfam family "Bacterial small subunit ribosomal RNA", at positions 55 to 665 of the family's 1533-position model. The record is from RNAcentral.
CUGCAGUCGAACGAUGAAACCUAGCUUGCUAGGUGGAUUAGUGGCGCACGGGUGAGUAAUGAAUAGAUAAUCUGCCUUUUAGUGGGGGACAACAGUUGGAAACGACUGCUAAUACCCCAUACUCCUUUUAAACAUAAGUUUAAUCGGGAAAGUUUUUCGCUAAAAGAUGAGUCUAUUUCCCAUCAGCUAGUUGGUAAGGUAAGAGCUUACCAAGGCUAUGACGGGUAGCUGGUCUUAGAGGACGAUCAGCCACACUGGAACUGAGACACGGUCCAGACUCCUACGGGAGGCAGCAGUGGGGAAUAUUGCACAAUGGGGGAAACCCUGAUGCAGCAACGCCGCGUGGAGGAUGACGCAUUUCGGUGUGUAAACUCCUUUUAUUAAGGAAGAAAUUUGACGGUACUUAAUGAAUAAGCACCGGCUAACUCCGUGCCAGCAGCCGCGGUAAUACGGAGGGUGCAAGCGUUAUUCGGAAUCACUGGGCGUAAAGGACGCGUAGGCGGGAAGCCAAGUCUGAUGUGAAAUCCUAUGGCUUAACCAUAGAACUGCAUUGGAAACUGGUUACCUAGAGUAUGGGAGGGGGAGAUGGA